UACAGAGGUCCCAAGCGUUGUUCGGAUUCACUGGGCGUAAAGGGUGCGCAGGUGGGCUGGUAAGUUCGAUGUGAAAGCCCCGGGCUUAACCCGGGAAUGGCAUUGGAUACUACUGGUCUGGAGGAUUGGAGGGGGGACUGGAAUUCUUGGUGUAGCAGUGAAAUGCGUAGAUAUCAAGAGGAACACCAGUGGCGAAGGCGAGUCCCUGGACAAUUCCUGACACUGAGGCACGAAAGCUAGGGGAGCAAACAGG
RNAcentral lists this ribosomal RNA (253 nucleotides) under uncultured bacterium. Its description in RNAcentral is "partial 16S ribosomal RNA". It matches the Rfam family "Bacterial small subunit ribosomal RNA", at positions 524 to 776 of the family's 1533-position model. The record is from RNAcentral.